CAUCCAGCCACAAAGGGCAUUCGUGACCUGCGCAUGUGGGUGGAGAAAUUGUGCUAAGGUCCUUUCUAUCUUCGGCACUACAGAUACUUGCGGAGCUGAAGCUUACGCCAUCCACGCUAAAGCUGAUCGGCAUUUAUGAGCUCCUCCGCAUUUCGAAUCACAGAUCGCGCAUUUAUCAUUCCUCUGCGCCUUGCUUCUGAUUUCUCUGUCUAGCCCACUACAGGCCUCUGUUUACGCAUUUCUUCAACCGGUCGCGCAUUUCUUCCACCGGUCACACAUUUCUCCCACUCUAGUCAUCAUACAUUCUUACAACAUAUCGAUAGCAGACAUGACUCCAGACGCUAUUUCUAAAACGCCAUGCUCAUUCUUGUCGAUUUUCCUCCCGUUCCCGUCCACUUGUCCCCCGAAUGCCUCCAAAUCGUCCGACACCGCACCCGACACAGCGAAUAAACACAUCCGCGAGAUCUUAUCGCUCUACAAACAGCUGUCCAGCUUCUCGUCUCUCGAACCAAGGGACGAAGUGAAUACGGUGUUCGGAAAAUUGGUGGAAUUGUGUAUCACAACGCUGUCGGAUGAUGCUCUUGUUGUUAAGAUUCUCAAAGACCCCCGCAUAUCCUCCAUCACGCCGCAUCUCCGUACGCUCUGCUCGACAGGUGAAUGUGCGCUCGAAUCGCACUGGGCGAACGUCCUCCUCACCCCGACCUCUGCCGCCGCAAUCCCACUGUCGUCCUUCCCAUACUACCAGAAUUAUCUCGACCUCUCGCGCCUGGAACUCAAUGCCCUGCUCUCCAUCAACCCCACCCCACCCACUACCAUCGCCUUCCUGGGAUCUGGCCCUCUGCCACUCACGUCGAUUUGUCUAGCCAAGCUUCUACACCCCACGACGCCCGCGCUGAAAAUCCUCAACGUUGACUAUGAUGCCGCGGCCAUCAACAUAUCCGCGCGACUGUGUGCCAACCUGCCUGCUCCACAAGGCGAGGUGCAAAAAUUCCUGUGCGCGUCCGCAACCGAUGUCGGCACGGACCUGACGACGUUCGAUGUAGUGUACGUAGCGGCAUUAGUGGGGAUGAGUGUGGAGGAUAAGGAGGAGGUGGUGAGAAGCGUGGUGAAGAAGAUGAAAAGGGGAGCACUGGUGGUCCUACGAAGUGCGCACUCGCUGCGGGGCUUGUUGUAUCCGGUGGUGGAUGUGGCAGGCCUGGAGAGGCUCGGCCUGAAGGUGGAGGUCGUGGUGCAUCCAUGGAACAGGGUCGUCAAUAGUGUUAUUGUAGCCAGGGUUGCCAUCGGGUCCUGUUAACUAAUAGUAGUGGAGCCUGGUGCUGCUACCUCUACUACUCACUGACUCGAUCUUACUACUGAUUAACCCAAGGAAACAAACACCUCGGCGCUGCUGGUGCGUGGGGGAAGUUCUCUGGCACCGCUGCAGCAGCCUUGUCUUCUACUAAGACUACUACUACUACUACUACUUCUGCAGCAGCAGCAGCAGCAGCAGCAGGUACGUGGGUUUGCACGUGUUGCUAGCUCUCUAACAUAUCAAUUAGAAUUCUAACUUAGACGAUAUCCAUUAGUUGUUUGUUACUCUCCCUGUGGACAAUAAUGUUGGGACGUUUUCAACACUUCGUUCAUUCGGUUGCUGGUGCCCCUCCAUGCAUCCUGCGGAGAGGGUUUACGUUGCAAUCUGAGUUGAGGUGCACAUAUUCCUGCGGUGGGUCUCAACGGUGUCUCUCCGGCCGCACCUUGCUCCAGUUCUCGUCACUGCUCAAGCUGGCUGGACUCAAAGCUCCCCGGUGCUCUUCCAUGCAGAUGCUUCUCACAGCCCCCCCCCCCCCACCAACACGGCGUCGCUGGAGGUCAUGACUGGAAGAGCAAAGCCAAAAUGGACCGUGCUGUAGAAGACGAGCUCGCCACUCUCAAUGGUUUGCUCCGUUAUCGCUGUUCUCACUGCAGUUAGGAACAGUGCUUGUCAGUACAGCACCACUAACACCCACUAAAUUAUGAAAGUAACAAAAACCUAACUCAUUAACAUGUACGUUGUGAUGAACAACUCUCAUUCCAACUCUUCUGUACUAAUUGUUGAAUGUAGAAACUAGCUUUUCCUGCUCAAGCAUUCAAUACUCUAAAGCCGUUCGUAGGUUGUCGGAGCUUUCAACAAGCUAAACUAUUCCUCCACAACAACGGCAUUAUCUGUAGGGUUUUAGGUCCACUGUCAUCAAAACGUUCAAUAGCUAGUUGAACAUCACCUCAAAGCGCAUCAGUGAGACUCUACGUUACAAUUUAAUGUAUUUGAAUCAAUAGAUACUACAGGUCGGCAUCCUAUUUUGUAUAGUUCACUCUCACAUCACUCUUCAAAACUAUACAAUAAAUGACCUUGCAUUUA
Physcomitrium patens is the source of this 2374-nucleotide non-coding RNA. The record is from RefSeq and is a predicted model, not a curated record. Lineage: Eukaryota; Viridiplantae; Streptophyta; Bryopsida; Funariales; Funariaceae.